This is a non-coding RNA of Acanthosepion pharaonis, 107 nucleotides long. The record is from the annotation of a GenBank genome assembly. Lineage: Eukaryota; Metazoa; Mollusca; Cephalopoda; Sepiida; Sepiidae.
UUACGGCCAUAUCACGUUUAAACUAUCGGUUCCCGUACGAUCACUGAUGUUAAAUAACGUUGAGCCAAGUCAGUAGGUGAACGCUUGGGAAUACCAGGUAUUGUAAG